Long non-coding RNA from Xenopus laevis (African clawed frog), 722 nucleotides. RefSeq lists it as uncharacterized. The record is from RefSeq and is a predicted model, not a curated record. Lineage: Eukaryota; Metazoa; Chordata; Amphibia; Anura; Pipidae. The transcript is spliced from 2 exons.
AGCAGAGUUAUAGUGAGCGUAUAAUGGGCAAACUGAGUGAGAGACAGACCUGCAAGGUGGGAGAGAAUGAGACAGGUAUAAGGGGAAUCUGAUUAGGAGACAGACCUGAAAGGUGACAGAGAAUGAGACAGAUAUAAGGGAAAUCUGAGUGAGAGAGAGACCUGCAAGGUGAGAGAGAGAGAAUGAGACGGGUAUAAGGGGAAUCUGAGUGAGAGACAGACCUGCAAGGUGAGAGAGAGAGAAUGAGACAGGUAUAAGGGGAAUCUGAGUGAGAGACAGACCUGCAAGGUGACAGAUAAAGAGUGGAGUGCCACUCGAAACGUUGCACAAUGUUGCUGUACUGCCAUGCAAAUAUUUGCAAACAGUAAAGGCGGUUUUAUUGAAAAACUCUGGAGUGCUGUUAUUGGAGAUAUAUAGGUGACGGAGAUAUAUAGGUGACAGAGAGUGAGACGGGUAUAAGGGGAAUCUGAUAAGGAGACAGAUCUGCAAGGUGAAUGAGCAUGAGACAGGUAUAAGGGGAAACUGAGUUAGAGACAGACCAGUUAGGUGAGUGUGAGAACUGAAGGCUGAAUGAGACUGCCAGUGAACUUCAAGCUGGAGCUACAAACUGCCACCUCCUGUGCCCCCAGGUUGCUUAAAGGGGUUGUUGACCUUCCAAACACUUUUUUCAGUUCAGUUGUUUUCAGAUUGUUCCCCAGAAAUAAAGACUUUUUUUCAAUUAC